This 70-nucleotide transfer RNA is filed under the name Litocranius walleri (gerenuk). RNAcentral describes it as "tRNA-His". It matches the Rfam family "tRNA". From Rfam's summary of the family: Transfer RNA (tRNA) molecules are approximately 80 nucleotides in length. Their secondary structure includes four short double-helical elements and three loops (D, anti-codon, and T loops). The record is from RNAcentral. Lineage: Eukaryota; Metazoa; Chordata; Mammalia; Artiodactyla; Bovidae.
GUAAAUAUAGUUUAAAAAAAACAUUAGAUUGUGAAUCUAAUAAUAGAAGCUUAUCCCCUUCUUAUUUACC